ACGGGUGAGUAAUGCCUAGGAAUCUGCCUGGUAGUGGGGGACAACGUUUCGAAAGGAACGCUAAUACCGCAUACGUCCUACGGGAGAAAGCAGGGGACCUUCGGGCCUUGCGCUAUCAGAUGAGCCUAGGUCGGAUUAGCUAGUUGGUGAGGUAAUGGCUCACCAAGGCGACGAUCCGUAACUGGUCUGAGAGGAUGAUCAGUCACACUGGAACUGAGACACGGUCCAGACUCCUACGGGAGGCAGCAGUGGGGAAUAUUGGACAAUGGGCGAAAGCCUGAUCCAGCCAUGCCGCGUGUGUGAAGAAGGUCUUCGGAUUGUAAAGCACUUUAAGUUGGGAGGAAGGGUUGUAAAUUAAUACUCUGCUGUUUUGACGUUACCGACAGAAUAAGCACCGGCUAACUCUGUGCCAGCAGCCGCGGUAAUACAGAGGGUGCAAGCGUUAAUCGGAAUUACUGGGCGUAAAGCGCGCGUAGGUGGUUUGUUAAGUUGGAUGUGAAAGCCCCGGGCUCAACCUGGGAACUGCAUUCAAAACUGACGAGCUAGAGUAUGGUAGAGGGUGGUGGAAUUUCCUGUGUAGCGGUG
This 585-nucleotide ribosomal RNA is filed under the name Pseudomonas sp. StFRB416. RNAcentral's name for it is "bacterial SSU rRNA". It matches the Rfam family "Bacterial small subunit ribosomal RNA", at positions 102 to 683 of the family's 1533-position model. The record is from RNAcentral. Lineage: Bacteria; Pseudomonadati; Pseudomonadota; Gammaproteobacteria; Pseudomonadales; Pseudomonadaceae.